CUUGCCAAGGGCAUUCCCCAUUGUGGUAAGACAAAUGUUGUAAAAGGUGAAAGAGAUAUCCUGUGAGAUUGUCUGUCUUCAGUAAUGCUUUUUUUUACAUGUUUAUAAUUUAGAUUCUGUGAAGGUUUCUGCAAAGAAUUAUGUAAUUUGGUACUAACUUUUAUAGAAAUAGGAAUUUCAUUGAAUUUAAACCCAAAUGAAUUGUAAUUUUGUCAAUUUUUCUGACUUCAUUUUUCAAAUGUUGACUCCUAUGCUUGCCUGUUGACAAAUAUCACAUUUUUGCAUGUUCAGCUGACGCCCUGUGUUUUUUUUAAAGCUUGAGAGUGUGCCAGACAAGGUCACACAGUUCUUUUGAAGCCUAUUGCCGUCGGGGAAAGGUCUCUAUAUUGCUCAUUAUACUGGAGUUUCGGAGUCAGGCGCACCGGAAGUGAUGCGUUUUGUGUCAUCCAGCCAGAGCGAAAGAGGGGAGAGAAUAAUUUAUGUAUUUUAACGUUAGGUUUGUUGUUGUUAUGUUUUUUGUUUGGCACUGCCUUUGCUUUGUUUUUUUUCUCAAUGCUUCACAUAUAUGUGUGUGUGUGUGUGUGUGUGUGUGUGUGUGUGUGUGUGUGUGUGUGUGUGUGUGUUUCUGAUGUUUUCUUUUGACAGGCCUACUAUGUAUGUUGACAGUUUGAUAGAAAGAUUUUUGAAAAUAAGGGGGAGCAGGGGUCCGUUUCACAAAGCAGGUUCAACAAACUCUGAGUCUAAUCCUGAACUCUGAGUUGAUCUACUCUGAGAUAGGAAACUCUGAGUUUCCGGUUCCAGAACAGCUGAUUUACAACUAUAAAAAGCCAGCAUCAAUGGAGCCCCGAUUCGACGAGUCACCAUGGCAACGGGGAAGAGGAGGGCUGCGUUUUUCACCCCACUAGAAUUAGAAAUCUUAAUGCGCUCAUAUUGCGAGUUUGCACACGUUUUCAAAAAGAAGUGCAACACCGCUGCAGCUGCAAAAGAGAGGGAGACGGUGUGGGAGAACAUUGCUGCUCGGGUCAAUGCGUGCAAUCCCGCGGGGGAGAAGCGCACUUGGCAGCAGUUUAGGAUGAAAUAUAAAAACAUUGUUCAAACAGGUAAGACCUCGGCAUAAUCUCAUGGGGGUACCUCAUUUUGAUCAUGUUUUACAUUGUAAAGUAAAUAUUAAGUGGCUGUUUGACUGUGCAGUUGUUUUAUCCCCAACAUAAUGCUGUUUUCACACACAUAAAUGUCUUCUCAUCUAUAUCAUGUUCUGUUAAAUAAUUAAGCCUAUUUAAACUAACACAGACUUCUACUCAGCCAACAGAAAGAAGGCAGAUGCCCGUAAAACGAGCACACUUUUCUGACCGCCCUGCAUACAGUUGCCUUACUCAAGUGCUCAGCAUCUCCGACAUUGUACAAAAAACUUCCAUUUGCAAAGAAACGCAGCGCAACACACAAUAUCUGCUGGGAUGUGAGAGCAUGACUACGAUUGGUAAUGUUGCAAAUGUAAGGACGGAUUAGGUUGUGUAUGUAGAUGAUGGACUGUGACGUGAAACGGUACCGCUCAAAAAGAUAAUUGUGUGGAAAUGCUAAAACAUCUAUGCGCGGUCUGAUAACCAUCUCCCGACGAAUAUUUAAUUCUCUGCGCAGUAAUGCUGCACCUUCAUCCACGGGAUCGUUAUCAAAAGGACAUGCCA
Molecule: long non-coding RNA, 1682 nt
Organism: Epinephelus moara (kelp grouper)
Lineage: Eukaryota; Metazoa; Chordata; Actinopteri; Perciformes; Serranidae
Exons: 2
Source: RefSeq, a predicted model, not a curated record